RNAcentral lists this ribosomal RNA (425 nucleotides) under uncultured bacterium. RNAcentral's name for it is "bacterial SSU rRNA". It matches the Rfam family "Bacterial small subunit ribosomal RNA", at positions 356 to 773 of the family's 1533-position model. The record is from RNAcentral.
GGGGAAUUUUGGACAAUGGGCGCAAGCCUGAUCCAGCAAUGCCGCGUGCAGGAAGAAGGCCUUCGGGUUGUAAACUGCUUUUGUACGGAACGAAAAGGCUCUGGCUAAUACCUGGAGCUCAUGACGGUACCGUAAGAAUAAGCACCGGCUAACUACGUGCCAGCAGCCGCGGUAAUACGUAGGGUGCGAGCGUUAAUCGGAAUUACUGGGCGUAAAGCGUGCGCAGGCGGUGCUGUAAGACAGGCGUGAAAUCCCCGGGCUCAACCUGGGAAUUGCGCUUGUGACUGCAGCGCUGGAGUGCGGCAGAGGGGGAUGGAAUUCCGCGUGUAGCAGUGAAAUGCGUAGAUAUGCGGAGGAACACCGAUGGCGAAGGCAAUCCCCUGGGCCUGCACUGACGCUCAUGCACGAAAGCGUGGGGAGCAAAC